UCAGCAGGCCGAGCCCUGGCACAGGGGCGGUUGCUACCAGCAGAGGAAGAGCUGGGCAACGCCCUGAGGAACUGGGCCACACAGGGCUGUAUUUAUAAAAGUGGGCAUGGAAUUUGACUGUAACAUCAUGGUGCCUUAUUGUAUUACAGUAAACAAGUGAUGUGCUGACAAUAGGCAAACAAGAGACACCCACAGAAAUGUCCCCUUUUUGCUUAGGGUAAACGCUGGCUGAGUAGCUGAGUAUUAAACAUCAGAUACUGCAGAGUUUACAGGACCUAUCAUCUCAACCACCUCCCUCUCAGCGUGAGAGUUCAGAUGGCCUGUACAACACUGCAUUUACAAUCGUUCGUGUGGACGUGGCUCUGCUGCUUGGAUCCUCUAAAAGCAUUGUUCACUCCUAGGCCACCAGUCCAGCUCCUCUCUGGGCCAGAAUAAAAUCAGCCAAAUCUGCAGUGUUUGGGGGUAUGAUCCAUAUGAGACCAGAUGUGCUAUGACUGACCAAAGAAAUGCACAAAGCUCUGGACUGACAUUUUGUGAAUAUGUGAACAGACAUGCUGCCUCCACAGGCUAUCCCCCUACAGACAGCCCUCAGGUUUGGAGACUUUGUUCAGAUCUGAGCAGCUGCAGAGUGGAGAGAGAGAGAGGAAUGCUACCCACCAAAUCUAGCAUACAGGAGUGGAGACUUGUUCAGCAUCAGCAUGGGAGAGCAGAGCACAGGAACAGAGCUGAUCUCUAUCUAGAUUUGCCCUAUCUUCAGCUAUCUUCAGACUAUCCCAGAUUUCCAUGUAGUCCAUGAAAAUGUGACCAACAGGCAUCUGAAAACCAUUAGGACAGAAAAGUGUGUUUGUGAUUUACUUAAAUCUGUUUUUGUAAGAUUUCUGCACACUACAAUUCCCAAUGCACUAACCUGAAUAGCUAAAACUCUGUCUCUAAAUAGACAUUGGCUUCUCUAAGGCUCAGGUAGCUUAAAUAGCUUAACUAAAUUACUAUGAGUUUUCCAUCACCUUCAGGGAGGAUAGGACACAACACAGACCAUCUCAGAAGCUGGAUUGUGUUUGUUGGGUAGGUAAAACUGCUUUGGCUGGUUGAGAGCACCUACCUCUGCCUUGUUGCUUCUAGUGAUACAUCUCCUUUCCAAGACCUGGUGCCU
This 1150-nucleotide long non-coding RNA is filed under the name Anas platyrhynchos platyrhynchos (common mallard). RNAcentral describes it as "lncRNA (ENSAPLG00000030619.1)". Lineage: Eukaryota; Metazoa; Chordata; Aves; Anseriformes; Anatidae. The record is from RNAcentral.